CCGAGAAUAUUCGACAAUGGGCGAAAGCCUGAUCGAGCGACGCCGCGUGCAGGAAGAAGGUUUUCGGAUUGUAAACUGCUUUUCUAUGGGAAGAACAAAUGACGGUACCAUAGGAAUAAGGAGCUGCAAACUACGUGCCAGCAGCCGCGGUAAUACGUAGGCUCCAAGCGUUAUCCGGAUUUAUUGGGCGUAAAGGGUGCGUAGGAUGUUUUACGCGUCUCUUGUUAAAUUUUGCCGCUUAACGGCAAAGCCGCAGGAGAUACGGUAAAGCUAGAGAAUGCGAGAGGUCUCGCGGAACACAAGGUGUAGGGGUGAAAUCCGUUGAUAUCUUGUGGAACACCAAAAGCGAAGGCAGCAGACUGGCGCAUUUCUGACUCUGAGGCACGAAAGCGUGGGGAGC
Molecule: ribosomal RNA, 400 nt
Filed under: uncultured bacterium
Lineage: Bacteria
Description: bacterial SSU rRNA
Rfam family: Bacterial small subunit ribosomal RNA
Source: RNAcentral